AAAUUGAAGAGUUUGAUCAUGGCUCAGAUUGAACGCUGGCGGCAGGCCUAACACAUGCAAGUCGAACGGUAACAGGAAACAGCUUGCUGUUUCGCUGACGAGUGGCGGACGGGUGAGUAAUGUCUGGGAAACUGCCUGAUGGAGGGGGAUAACUACUGGAAACGGUAGCUAAUACCGCAUAACGUCGCAAGACCAAAGAGGGGGACCUUAGGGCCUCUUGCCAUCGGAUGUGCCCAGAUGGGAUUAGCUAGUAGGUGGGGUAAAGGCUCACCUAGGCGACGAUCCCUAGCUGGUCUGAGAGGAUGACCAGCCACACUGGAACUGAGACACGGUCCAGACUC
RNAcentral lists this ribosomal RNA (341 nucleotides) under Escherichia coli. Its description in RNAcentral is "bacterial SSU rRNA". It matches the Rfam family "Bacterial small subunit ribosomal RNA", at positions 1 to 338 of the family's 1533-position model. Lineage: Bacteria; Pseudomonadati; Pseudomonadota; Gammaproteobacteria; Enterobacterales; Enterobacteriaceae. The record is from RNAcentral.